Molecule: long non-coding RNA, 228 nt
Filed under: Eucalyptus grandis
Lineage: Eukaryota; Viridiplantae; Streptophyta; Magnoliopsida; Myrtales; Myrtaceae
Description: long non-coding RNA (EGRA_LNC006086)
Source: RNAcentral
ACCAAGAGGGAGACCUUUUCAACGCCCGCGCGCGUUUCUGGAUUCCCUUGCCGUAGCGCCUAACGCAAUCCAAGCAUUCUCGCAGAUCUAACUCGGUUUUACUUUUCUGGGUCGGUCAGAGAUCUACCACCUUUUCUUGUGCCGAACGUUCGGCGGAGUCGUUGAUGGCGAGCGCGAAUCAAGGCUGUUCUUCGGAGAGAGUUGAGAGGGAAAUGAGUGAGCAUCGAG